Long non-coding RNA from Saccostrea echinata, 1218 nucleotides. RefSeq lists it as uncharacterized. The transcript is spliced from 6 exons. The record is from RefSeq and is a predicted model, not a curated record. Lineage: Eukaryota; Metazoa; Mollusca; Bivalvia; Ostreida; Ostreidae.
UCAUUUUCAGAUGUUUAUUUUUUGCGAAUGUGUGCAUUUGGCCGGAAAACAAUCUGACAUUCCACCUUGAGAUGUUAUUUGAGAGUUGUUCCAUCCUUAAAUGUAAAGCAAGGAUUUAAAACAGUGUGAGAAAGGGUUAACAUUGUCGCCUAUGGGAAAUGUAUUGGUGGACUGUAUACCCCAUAUAUAUUGAGUACGUCUAUUGGUUCAUGGUGAUACAGGAAAACUUCAAGGUUCCUGCAGAUGGUGUUUAAAACUAUUGGCCAGUGAACACAAACCCAUUUAAUUAUAUUUUGAAUCUUCACCAGGAGAAAAAAGAUGGCAGUACUUCUAAUGCAAGCAGCUACUAGGGAAGAUUUAAUGAAGGAAGAUGAGGAAGUGGAGAAAAAGCUGAAGAACAAGGAGGACAAGGUGAAGAAAGGACAAGGGCACAGUGACUUGCAGUGUGUGUCAUGUAACAUUAUUACAACAUCUAUAUCAUGGGUCCAUAAUUUUGAGUAAGUCAUUCAUCAACCACUUUAUCUGUACUGGAAACCAUUUCUGAGAGGGAUGAAGUGAUGGAAGAUAAUGAGCCAGAGGGUGGAACGGAAGAGAAAGGGAAAGAAAUAAAGAAAAAGGCAGAAUGAAAAAGGACUAGAACUUGCAAUAGAAGAAAGAGUUGAGGAAAUGAAGAGGAAGAAAUUGAAGAUGAAAAGAAGAGCUCUGGGAGGAAAAAAUUCCAUUUGUAAGAUGUGUGGACAAAAGAAAAACAGCCAUAGAGUGCCAAUGUGGAGUGGAAUAAGUCAGUAUGACUUAAACAUGGUCAAUUGAAGUGUUUGAAUGCCCCUCCAGAAUGCAGAACAAUCUUUGAAUUUGCAGGAAAGAGUAUAAAAUUUGCUGUUAAAAUAUCAUAACAGCUAGACAAAGAUUAAAUAACAACUACAUGUACAUCUAAAGAAUUCUUUUGUCAUAAUAGUGAUUCAUGUGCUAGUACAUGUGACAAGUGCUAUAACGACCUAAUAUAAGUGUGUUUUAGGAGCAUGUUGACUCUAUUGUAAAUGUAUUGACUCCUUAUAUGACCUCAUUUAUAUAUAACAUUAUAUGAAUGGUAGUGUAGUGACUUGAAAUGUGUGUUAGUAGUAUAGCUCGUUAUGUGUGGUAAUUUUGUUAUUUGUUUUACAUGUAUGAUAGUACAUAUAGUAUGGUGACUCAUGUGUUGGGAAUUAAUGUAUAAUUUUA